RNAcentral lists this ribosomal RNA (481 nucleotides) under uncultured bacterium. Its description in RNAcentral is "partial 16S ribosomal RNA". It matches the Rfam family "Bacterial small subunit ribosomal RNA", at positions 28 to 507 of the family's 1533-position model. The record is from RNAcentral.
GAUGAACGCUGGCGGCGUGCCUAACACAUGCAAGUCGAACGAAGCAUUUGCGACAGAUUUUUUCGGAAUGAAGUUGCUUAUGACUGAUUGGCGGACGGGCGAGUAACGCGUGGGUAACCUGCCUUGUACUGGGGGAUAGCAGCUGGAAACGGCUGGUAAUACCGCAUAAGCGCACAACGUUGCAUGACAUGGUGUGAAAAACUCCGGUGGUAUAAGAUGGACCCGCGUCUGAUUAGCUAGUUGGUGAGAUAACAGCCCACCAAGGCGACGAUCAGUGGCCGGCCUGAGAGGGUGACCAGCCACAUUGGGACUGAGACACGGCCCAGACUCCUACGGGAGGCAGCAGUGGGGAAUAUUGCACAAUGGAGGAAACUCUGAUCCAGCGACGCCGCGUGAGUGAUGAAGUCAUUCGUGAUGUAAAGCUCUAUCAGCAGGGAUGAUAAUGACGGUACCUGGAGAAGAAGCUCCGGCUAAAUCCGUG